CUUCAGCGAGCCGAGCCACAGCGGCUGGUCGGCCGAGUGCUCCUGCCCGUACGUCGCGAGCAGCGCCUGCGCCUC
RNAcentral lists this antisense RNA (75 nucleotides) under Streptomyces sp. CB02460. Its description in RNAcentral is "ASpks sRNA". It matches the Rfam family "ASpks TB sRNA". The record is from RNAcentral. Lineage: Bacteria; Bacillati; Actinomycetota; Actinomycetes; Kitasatosporales; Streptomycetaceae.